UACGUAGGGACCAAGCGUUGUCCGGAACCAUUGGGCGUAAAGCGCGCGUAGGCGGCCCGGUAAGUCCGUUGUAAAAGUCGAAGGCUCAACCUUCGAAAGCCGAUGGAUACUGCCGGGCUAGAGUACGGAAGAGGCGAGUAGAAUUCCUGGUGUAGCGGUGGAAUGCGCAGAUAUCAGGAGGAAUACCCAUAGCGAAGGCAGCUCGCUGGGACGUUACUGACGCUGAGGCGCGAAAGCGUGGGGAGCGAACAGG
RNAcentral lists this ribosomal RNA (253 nucleotides) under uncultured bacterium. RNAcentral's name for it is "partial 16S ribosomal RNA". It matches the Rfam family "Bacterial small subunit ribosomal RNA", at positions 524 to 776 of the family's 1533-position model. The record is from RNAcentral.